CCUACGGGAGGCAGCAGUGAGGAAUAUUGGUCAAUGGACGAGAGUCUGAACCAGCCAAGCAGCGUGAAGGAUGACUGCCCUAUGGGUUGUAAACUUCUUUUAUAUGGGAAUAAACUGUUCCACGUGUGGGAUUUUGUAUGUACCCUAUGAAUAAGGAUCGGCUAACUCCGUGCCAGCAGCCGCGGUAAUACGGAGGAUCCGAGCGUUAUCCGGAUUUAUUGGGUUUAAAGGGAGCGUAGGUGGAUUGUUAAGUCAGUUGUGAAAGUUUGCGGCUCAACCGUAAAAUUGCAGUUGAAACUGGCAGUCUUGAGUACAGUAGAGGUGGGCGGAAUUCGUGGUGUAGCGGUGAAAUGCUUAGAUAUCACGAAGAACUCCGAUUGCGAAGGCAGUUCACUGGACUGCAACUGACACUGAGGCUCGAAAGUGUGGGUAUCAAACAGGAUUAGAUACCCCAGUAGUC
Molecule: ribosomal RNA, 460 nt
Filed under: uncultured bacterium
Lineage: Bacteria
Description: partial 16S ribosomal RNA
Rfam family: Bacterial small subunit ribosomal RNA
Source: RNAcentral